GAUGAACGCUGGCGGUAUGCUUAACACAUGCAAGUCGAACGGAACUCUACGGAGUUUAGUGGCGGACGGGUGAGUAAAGCGUGAGAAUCUGGCCUUAGGUUCGGGACAACCACGGGAAACGGUGGCUAAAACCGGAUAUGCCUGCGGGUGAAAAAGCAAUUGCCUGAGGAUGAGCUCGCGUCUGAUUAGCUAGUUGGUAGGGUAAGAGCCUACCAAGGCGACGAUCAGUAGCUGGUCUGAGAGGACGAUCAGCCACACUGGGACUGAGACACGGCCC
Molecule: ribosomal RNA, 277 nt
Filed under: uncultured bacterium
Lineage: Bacteria
Description: partial 16S ribosomal RNA
Rfam family: Bacterial small subunit ribosomal RNA
Source: RNAcentral